This 522-nucleotide ribosomal RNA is filed under the name Scheffersomyces shehatae. RNAcentral describes it as "eukaryotic LSU rRNA". It matches the Rfam family "Eukaryotic large subunit ribosomal RNA", at positions 110 to 650 of the family's 3401-position model. The record is from RNAcentral. Lineage: Eukaryota; Fungi; Ascomycota; Pichiomycetes; Serinales; Debaryomycetaceae.
AAAUUUGAAGAUCUGGCACCUUCGGUGUCCGAGUUGUAAUUUGAAGAAGGUAACUUUGGAGUUGGCUCUUGUCUAUGUUCCUUGGAACAGGACGUCACAGAGGGUGAGAAUCCCGUGCGAUGAGAUGUCCAACUCUAUGUAAAGUGCUUUCGAAGAGUCGAGUUGUUUGGGAAUGCAGCUCUAAGUGGGUGGUAAAUUCCAUCUAAAGCUAAAUAUUGGCGAGAGACCGAUAGCGAACAAGUACAGUGAUGGAAAGAUGAAAAGAACUUUGAAAAGAGAGUGAAAAAGUACGUGAAAUUGUUGAAAGGGAAGGGUUUGAGAUCAGACUUGGUAUUUUGUAUGUCUUGCUUUCGGGUGGGGCCUCUGCAGUUUACUGGGCCAGCAUCGGUUUGGACGGUAGGAUAAUGACAUUGGAAUGUGGCACUACUUCGGUGGUGUGUUAUAGACUUUGUUGAUACUGCCUGUCUAGACCGAGGACUGCGUCUUUGACUAGGAUGCUGGCAUAAUGAUCCUAAACCGCCC